Molecule: non-coding RNA, 749 nt
Organism: Paramuricea clavata
Lineage: Eukaryota; Metazoa; Cnidaria; Anthozoa; Malacalcyonacea; Plexauridae
Source: the annotation of a GenBank genome assembly
CUUGAAUGGGGUGCAACAAUGCUGAACAAUAUUGGUAACAUUCGUGAACAAUAGGCGUAGCACAUUAUUGUUGCAACCUGUUUUUAUCAACAUUGCAACUACAAGUUCAUGAUUUUUACGCGUGUAGGCAGGAGAAGAAAAACGUUUUUUUCCGAUUUAGACACGUGUCCUGACAAUUCCCGGGAAAUUCCUGUGACACCGGUUUUACACCCAAAAUACCAGCCAUAUGGCAGUGUGAAGAUAGUAUGCUAUCACAAAAAGUUGAGUUCGAAGUUAUAUGGAGAAAAUUGUAGAUUACAUUAUUAAUAAAAGAUAAACUGUCAGAUUAUAUUCGUUCUUCGAAAAUUUGUGGUUGUCAUUUUACCGGGAACAUCUUUCUUAUAUUUAUUCAGUUUUAUAGGCAAAUUACAUGUGUUCGCAAUGGUCUAGCAAACAACGAAUUCGAUUAAAUUUGCCCAUUUCAGCGUUUUACCCCCAUUUCAGCGUUCUACCCCCAUUUCAGCGUUUUAUCCCCAUUUCAGCGUUUUAUCCCCAUUUCAGCGUUUUAUCCCCCAUUUCAGCGUUUUACCCCCAUUUCAGCGUUUUAUCCCCAUUUCAGCGUUUUACCCCCAUUUCAGCGUUUUAUCCCCAUUUCAGCGUUUUACCCCCAUUUCAGCGUUUUACCCCCAUUUCAGCGUUUUAUCCCCAUUUCAGUUUCCGCUUUCAGUUUCCGUUUCCGCGAUUCAGUUUCAGCGUUUUAUCCCUACCCA